CAUUUACAUUUUCUUUCUUUUAGAAUCAUUUGAGUGAGCUGGAAUAUUUCUAGUUUUAAGAUCAUUCACUCUAUUGAUGGAAGUUUUUAAUAAUGUAGGGGAGAAAAACAUAUAGAUGAUCAUUGAGGUAUGUGUAUUUAUAGAACUCAAUUUCUUAAUCACAGUUUUUCAGCAAUGUAUACAUGAAGCUCAAUAAAUUUUUAAAUAUUAAAAUAAAGUCAUAUAUUUUAAAAAUAUUUACUUGCAAUCAAGAUCAUCGUAAGACACAUCAUUUGAAUCAAAAUUAGUAUACUUUGAAGAUAAGAAAUGAUAUGUUUCGGAUGCGUAUCGGAGCAAUCAAAAUAAAU
This 347-nucleotide long non-coding RNA is filed under the name Phoenix dactylifera (date palm). RNAcentral's name for it is "long non-coding RNA (PDAC_LNC007809)". The record is from RNAcentral. Lineage: Eukaryota; Viridiplantae; Streptophyta; Magnoliopsida; Arecales; Arecaceae.